GGGGGAAAAAUUAAUAAGAUUAUAAUUAAUAAAAUAAUUUUUAAAGAAAAAAUAUUUAAUGGGGGUUAAAGUAUUUUUUUUAGAAAAAAUUAUAAAAUUUAUAAUUAAUUAGUAUUGUAAAAGAAAUUUGAAAAAUAUUUGAAAAUAAAUUUAUGAAAAAGUAAAUUUUAUUUAUUGUAUCUUGUGUAUCAGAGUUUAUUAAUAAAUAUUUUUAAAUAGAAAUUUCUCGAAUUUAAAAGAGUUAAUUAAUUAUAAAAGUUAAUAUUGCAUAAUUAUUUUAAAUAAUUAAUUAGAAAUGAAAUGUUAUUCGUUUUUAAAUAUAUCUAGUUUUUUUAGAAAAAAAUUUAAUUUUAGAUAUUAAAUUGAAAAAUAUUAUUUUAUUUAAUAUUUUUUUUUUUAAUAUAAAAUAUUUUAAGGGAUAAGCUUUAAAAUAAAUUUUUAUAAUAUUUUUAUUUAAAUAAAAUUUUUAAAAUUUAUAUUGUUUAAAAAUUAUAAUUUUUUGUAAAUAAUUUUAUUUAAAUUUAAAAUUUAAUAUAAAUAUUUAAUUUUUUAUAAAAAAAUAAUUUAUAAUAAUUAAAAAUUAGUUAUAAUGAUAAAAUUAGUAUAUAAAUAAAUUUUAUAAUAAUAAUAAUAGUUUAUUUAAAUUUAAUAAAAGGAAUUCGGCAAAUUUAUAUAUUCACUUGUUUAUCAAAAACAUGUCUUUUUGUUAAUAAUUUAAAGUCUAAUCUGCCCACUGAUAAAUUAUUAAAGGGCUGCAGUAUUUUGACUGUACAAAGGUAGCAUAAUCAUUAGUCUCUUAAUUGGUGACUUGUAUGAAGGAUUUCAUGAAAUAUUAACUGUCUCUUAUUAAUUUAUAAAAUUUAAUUUUUUAGUAAAAAAGCUAAAAUAAAUUUAAAAGACGAGAAGACCCUAUAGAGUUUAAUUAUUAAAAUAAUUUUUAUUUUUUAUAAAUUUUUUAAUUAAAAUUAUAUUAAUUAUUUUAUUGGGGUGAUAGAAAAAUUAAAAUAACUUUUUUUAAAAUUUAAACAUUAAUAAAUGAAUAUAUGAUCCGAUUUUAUCGAUUAAAAGAUUAAAUUACCUUAGGGAUAACAGCGUAAUUUUUUUUUUUAGUUCAAAUAAAAAAAAAAGUUUGCGACCUCGAUGUUGGAUUAAGAUAAAAUUUAAAUGCAAAAGUUUAAAAUUUUGAUCUGUUCGAUCAUUAAAAUCUUACAUGAUCUGAGUUCAAACCGGUGUAAGCCAGGUUGGUUUCUAUCUUUAAGAAAAAUUAAUAUUUUAGUACGAAAGGAUCAAAUAUUAAAAAUAAUUUUAAUAUAAGAAUUUUAAUAAUUAUAAUAUAAAAAUUAA
RNAcentral lists this ribosomal RNA (1344 nucleotides) under Graphium cloanthus. Its description in RNAcentral is "16S ribosomal RNA". Lineage: Eukaryota; Metazoa; Arthropoda; Insecta; Lepidoptera; Papilionidae. The record is from RNAcentral.